AUUGAACGCUGGCAGCGUGGAUGAGGCAUGCAAGUCGGACGAAGUAUUUUAGCAAUAAGAUACUUAGUGGCGAAAGGGUUAGUAAUACAUAGACAAUCUGCCUUUAACUUUGGAAUAACGGCUGGAAACGGCCGCUAAUACCGGAUGUGGUGAAGAGAGGCAUCUUUCUUUCAUUAAAGCGGGGGCUCGUAAGACCUCGCGGUUAAAGAAGAGUCUAUGGGAUAUCAGCUAGUUGGUGGGGUAAUGGCCUACCAAGGCUAAGACGUCUAGGCGGAUUGAGAGAUUGACCGCCAACACUGGGACUGAGAUACUGCCCAGACUCCUGCGGGAGGCUGCAGUCGAGAAUCUUUCGCAAUGGGCGAAAGCCUGACGAAGCGACGCUGCGUGAGCGAUGAAGGCCUUCGGGUUGUAAAGCUCUUUCGCCUGGGAACAAGAGAAUCCGGAUAACACCCGGAGGAUUUGAGGGUACUAGGUAAAGAAGCACCGGCUAACUCCGUGCCAGCAGCCGCGGUAA
This 514-nucleotide ribosomal RNA is filed under the name uncultured bacterium. Its description in RNAcentral is "partial 16S ribosomal RNA". It matches the Rfam family "Bacterial small subunit ribosomal RNA", at positions 30 to 523 of the family's 1533-position model. The record is from RNAcentral.